CAGUCGAGCGAGCGGAACCACAGAUUUACUUCGGUAAUGACGUUGGGAAAGCGAGCGGCGGAUGGGUGAGUAACACGUGGGGAACCUGCCCCUAAGUCUGGGAUACCAUUUGGAAACAGGUGCUAAUACCGGAUAAUAAAGCGGAUCGCAUGAUCAGCUUUUGAAAGGCGGCGUAAGCUGUCGCUAAGGGAUGGCCCCGCGGUGCAUUAGCUAGUUGGUAAGGUAACGGCUUACCAAGGCGACGAUGCAUAGCCGAGUUGAGAGACUGAUCGGCCACAUUGGGACUGAGACACGGCCCAAACUCCUACGGGAGGCAGCAGUAGGGAAUCUUCCACAAUGGACGCAAGUCUGAUGGAGCAACGCCGCGUGAGUGAAGAAGGUUUUCGGAUCGUAAAGCUCUGUUGUUGGUGAAGAAGGAUAGAGGUAGUAACUGGCCUUUAUUUGACGGUAAUCAACCAGAAAGUCACGGCUAACUACGUGCCAGCAGCCGCGGUAAUACGUAGGUGGCAAGCGUUGUCCGGAUUUAUUGGGCGUAAAGCGAGCGCAGGCGGAAAAAUAAGUCUAAUGUGAAAGCCCUCGGCUUAACCGAGGAACUGCAUCGGAAACUGUUUUUCUUGAGUGCAGAAGAGGAGAGUGGAACUCCAUGUGUAGCGGUGGAAUGCGUAGAUAUAUGGAAGAACACCAGUGGCGAAGGCGGCUCUCUGGUCUGCAACUGACGCUGAGGCUCGAAAGCAUGGGUAGCGAACAGGAUUAGAUACCCUGGUAGUCCAUGCCGUAAACGAUGAGUGCUAAGUGUUGGGAGGUUUCCGCCUCUCAGUGCUGCAGCUAACGCAUUAAGCACUCCGCCUGGGGAGUACGACCGCAAGGUUGAAACU
This 875-nucleotide ribosomal RNA is filed under the name uncultured bacterium. Its description in RNAcentral is "bacterial SSU rRNA". It matches the Rfam family "Bacterial small subunit ribosomal RNA", at positions 59 to 901 of the family's 1533-position model. The record is from RNAcentral.